UUCAAAUGUUUUUGUUUGUUGUUUUCAUAUUCCCAGUUGGACUAUAAACUCUUUGUUCUUGUGUCUCCUGCAUGCCAACCACAUUUGGAUGCUUGUUGGUUGGCUGAUACCUUUUCUUUCCUUUUCCUAACCCUUUAUGCCUUACCCUCUUCCCUCCUGCCUUCUUUCCCCUUUCCUCUUGGCCUGCCCCCGGCCAACAUUAUUUUUAAAAUUUCUCUGCAGAUUCUGAUGUUGAGAUUGACUUGGAGCUCUUCGUAAAUAAGACGACAGCUACAAAGCUCAACUCAGGUGAAGACAAAAUUGAGGACAUUCUGGUUCUGCACUUGGACAGGGGAAAGGAUUACUUUUUGUCUGUGUCUGGGAACUACCUGCCCAGCUGUUUUGGGUCUCCCAUUCAUACACUGUGUUACAUGAGAGAGCCAAUCUUGGACCUACCACUUGAAACUAUUAGUGAGCUGACUCUGAUGCCAGUAUGGACUGGAGAUGAUGGGAGCCAGUUGGAGAGCCCCAUGGAAAUCCCCAAAGAGCUCUGGAUGCUGGUUGAUUACCUGUACCGAAAUGCUGUCCAGCAG
Molecule: small RNA, 572 nt
Filed under: Pan troglodytes (chimpanzee)
Lineage: Eukaryota; Metazoa; Chordata; Mammalia; Primates; Hominidae
Description: processed transcript
Source: RNAcentral